This 91-nucleotide transfer RNA is filed under the name Ruminococcus sp. Its description in RNAcentral is "tRNA-Ser". It matches the Rfam family "tRNA". From Rfam's summary of the family: Transfer RNA (tRNA) molecules are approximately 80 nucleotides in length. Their secondary structure includes four short double-helical elements and three loops (D, anti-codon, and T loops). Further hydrogen bonds mediate the characteristic L-shaped molecular structure. tRNAs have two regions of fundamental functional importance: the anti-codon, which is responsible for specific mRNA codon recognition, and the 3' end, to which the tRNAs corresponding amino acid is attached (by aminoacyl-tRNA synthetases). tRNAs cope with the degeneracy of the genetic code in two manners: having more than one tRNA (with a specific anti-codon) for a particular amino acid; and 'wobble' base-pairing, i.e. permitting non-standard base-pairing at the 3rd anti-codon position. The record is from RNAcentral. Lineage: Bacteria; Bacillati; Bacillota; Clostridia; Eubacteriales; Oscillospiraceae.
GGAGAUGUAUCGAAGUGGUCAUAACGAGAACGACUCGAAAUCGUUUGGACGGUAAAACGUUCCGUGGGUUCGAAUCCCACCAUCUCCGCCA